Non-coding RNA from Biomphalaria pfeifferi, 302 nucleotides. The record is from the annotation of a GenBank genome assembly. NCBI's taxonomy places the organism in Eukaryota, Metazoa, Mollusca, Gastropoda, Planorbidae.
GCAAGGGGAUUAUUAUUUAUUCCAUCAAGAUGUAAACUUGUUAGUCAUCAUUCUAUAAUCUAACGUAAAAUUAUCAAUGACUGGAUAAGGAUGGUCAAAGUACAUAAGUGUGUUCAACAAUAGUUGAACCCUUGGAAUUGACAUACAAGUUUGUCAACAUGAAAAUCAAAAUUAUCUGAAUCAAAUGAAAUCAACAAAUUAUUUUUUAUAUAUAUAUGAUGUCAACAUAAUCUCACUGUAAACCAUACAAAGUGUUAGGUCAUACACACAUGACUGUAGAUAUCACUCAUACACACAACGGC